RNAcentral lists this long non-coding RNA (266 nucleotides) under Nicotiana benthamiana. RNAcentral's name for it is "long non-coding RNA (NBEN_LNC001456)". Lineage: Eukaryota; Viridiplantae; Streptophyta; Magnoliopsida; Solanales; Solanaceae. The record is from RNAcentral.
GCUGUUCUGUCUAAUAUGUAUGUAUGGUAAUAGUUAUAACUUAUAACUACUGACUCCUUUUACUGACCUCCUUGUGUACAUUUAGUUGCAGUGCCUUCAUAGUAGAGAAUCAUAUAGAUGGCAAAACAGCAUAGAAAUAGUUAUUCUCUGUUCCAUCAAGAAUGUUCUCAUCCAGCUUGUCUCAAAUAGUGAAAAGUGUAAUUAUUGGAAACAGCCUCUCUGCCCUUUCGGGUAGGGGUAAGGCUCGUCUACAUGUUACCCUCCCC